GCCUUUUUGCCUUCGCGGUGGUGGCGCCGCGCUGGGAAUCCGCUGCGGAAUGGUGUGGUCGCUCGAUUCUCCCAGUGCCUGGCUGAGUUUCGGACGUGGUUAAGAACCAACUGGUUGAGGUUCAAUGCAGACAAGACGGAUGUGAUGCUGUAGAAAAUGUGCAUCAGAUGUUUAUGUUUAAUUGGUUUACAGACUGUCUGUGGACUCUUUUCCUGUCAAAUUACCAGCCAUCUGUUGAAUCUUCAAGUCCAGGAGGUUCAGCAACAUCAGAUGACCAUGAAUUUGAUCCAUCAGCUGACAUGCUGGUUCAUGAUUUUGAUGAUGAACGAACAUUAGAAGAGGAAGAAAUGAUGGAAGGAGAAACAAACUUCAGCUCUGAAAUAGAAGAUCUUGCAAGGGUAAAUAACAUGUAGAGCUAGGGUAUGAAUUGGUUAUGACUUUUUUGUGGAAAGGGAAGAUCUGAAAUUUUGAUUCUCUGAUUAGGAGAGAAAUUGUGUUAUAUAUUAAUGACUGAAAAAUUUUGUGUGAUCAUAGGUGGGAUAUUUAAAGUUUGAAAUGAAAGGAUUUAAAAACAAUAACUUUAUUAUGUGCAAUAACAGAAUUCACAUAGUUACUUUGGUAAAACAUAGACUGUUAAAUGAUUCUGCUAUAAAGGUCUGGUCAAAAAUGGACUAUAAAAGGAUUCUACACGGCCUCAUAUAUCCUUUGUCCUUCCCCAGUUACCAUAUCUUUUACUUAUUCUCCUUCAGAGCCAAAAAUUCUUGAAGUAUCAUUUUCCAUUCACUACAUAAAGUGCUCUAGAUUAUCUCCACUACAUAAAGUGCUCUAGAUUAUCUCCACCUCUUCCUAUCAAGGUGACCAGUGAACUUUCCUUGUUACAUCCAUUUUUAUAUUCACUUUUCUCUCACUACCUUACUUUUUCUCAGCAGUAUUCAAUAUAGUUUAACAUUCCCUUCUUUUACUUGAAUUCUGGAGUACACCACUGUCUGGUUUUCUUUAUCUUUUUGUUUCUAUUCAGUAUCUUUUGCAGACUCUUCUUCCGUUACUCAAGGUUUACAUGUUGGCAGUUUGUGAUUCUCAGUUUGGACCUUCUUUUUUUCUCUCCUGUCUCUGUCUGGAUCAGUGCUCCUCAAAAUGUAGUAUGAGGGUCAGUUGCAUCAGAAUCAACCCUGUACUUAUUUUAAAAAGCAGAUUUUUUGGACCUCUCCCCCGGCAUACUGAAUCAGAAUCUCUGGAGGUGGUGUUCAGAUCCACAUCUUCAUUAAAGACUGUGUGUCUGAAAACAGGGCACUUGAAGAACUUGAAGUCAGAACUAUUGUUUAAAAGUAGGAGGCUGGGAAGCGAUUCAAAAACAGUUAUAAGGGAAACAGUUGAUUUAACAAUCAUAGUCACUUCAUGUAUUUGUGAAGUGAGAAGACAAUUAUUUUCAGUUUGCCUAUAUUCAGAGAAGAUCUAUCACUUUAUAUUUUUUGCUUCUGAAUAGCCAUCUGUGGGAUAAAAGGUACAGUAAUAAAAUCUUGUAUUUUCUGUCUUAUAUUCUAUAUUAGCUAAAAUACUAAUUAGCAAGAGGAAAUAAGUAGUUUUCAUAAUGGGUUAUGAGUUAGUUAUUUUUUUUCUAUUUCAGAAAAUGAGAUAUUUAUUACAUUUAAUUAGUAGAAAAUUACUAAUGGGCUGUGCUAAAAUUUUGGUUAUAUCAUUGCCUUUUCCUGUUUUUCUCUCCUAUUCCUUUCCCCAGCCCCAUAUAGUGCCUUAAAACUUGCUUUCAAGUGACCCUGCCUUAGGAAAUAGAAGUUAAAAUAGAAUUAUUUAUAGAGAUAGGGAAAAAAAGACAGUUGAACCAAUCCUUUAUCAUCCUUUCAACUAGACAGCCUUAUACCUUCUCAGAUUCUUCUCUGACUUCUCCCAGAAACAAUUAAAGCUUUAAGUAGCAUAGAAUGCUUUUCAUCUGUAACCUGAAGCUAAGCAAUAUUUUGGGGCCAAUUUGUUGGAUUUCCUAGAGUUAUUAACUCUUUAGGUUUGAACCAAACAAAAUUCUUGUUGUGUUUAUUGAAAAAGUGAAUAAGAUUUUGUUGUGUUGAUUAUUGAUUUGCUUUUAUAGAAGCAAAACAUUAGUUAUGUCAGGGAUUGAUAGUGUUUUUCACCUUACACCUUGGUUGCAUGAAAUGAAUUUUUGAUGUAUUGUGGCAGAACUCUGACAUUCAUUCAGGAAAUAUCAAUAACUGUAUAGCAUGUGGUUUUAAGUUCAUUCAAUUUGAAUUCUAGAAUUUUUCAGUGAAAACUAACUCGAAAGAAGUUUUGAUGUGUAUUGUUACAUUUGUAUGCAUGGAUUAUGACAAUAUAAAAGAUAAGUGUUUUAAUAAAAUUGGGUGUAUAGGUUAUUAUUUAUUGUAGUGAUUAGUGAUCUUAGAGGGAAUGUCAGAAUCAUUCUCAUAGUAAAUAAAUAGACUUUUGUUUUGUUUUGUUUUUUUGAGACAGAGUCUCACUCUGUUGCCCAGGCUGGAGUGCAGUGGCACGAUCUCGGCUCACUGCAACCUCCACCUCCUGGGUUCAAGCAAUUCGCCUGCCUCAGCCUCUUGAGUAGCUAGGAUUAUAGGCAUGUGCCACCAAGCCCAGCUAAUUUUUGUAUUUUUAAUAGAGAUGAGGUUUCACCAUGUUGCCCAGGCUGGUCUCGAACUCCUGGCCUCAAGUGAUCUGCCCAUCUCAGCCUCCCAAAGUGCUGGGGUUACAGGCGUGAGCUAUUGCACCUGGCCAUAGAUACAUUUUUGUUUGCUACAAAUAGAAACACUCUAGUUUAACUCUGUUUUCCAAAUGAACUCUUUAAACUCAGAGACUCUAAAUGGGCACAAUUGUGGCAGUCCAUUUGGGAAAAGAAAGAUCAAGAUUGCAAUAUAUUUAUGUAUUUAGAUAUAUUUUAUAAAAAUCACACUAUAACAGUAUCAGUAUUUAAUACAUACUUUUAAAGUGCUAGAUGUGUUCCAUCCAGAGCUAGAGAAUAAUUAAAAUGUGUGAUUAAAAUGUGAGAGAUUGCAGUAUUUUGACGUAUACACACAAAUUAAUUAUAUAGAUAGAAAAGAAAUCUCAGUGUGAGGAUUAUAAAGAAGAGUUCAGUGCCUUCAUUCCUAUAUAGUUUUAUCUUCUAGUCAAGCCCCAGCCCCAAGAGAUUGGUUACCUUAGGAACCAUCUCUCUAGUUCAGUCUGGAUGUGGUCCCUUAGGCCUUUUUGGCUGGAAAUCUGCCUCUUUCCUUCUUCCUAUCUUCAUUAGCAUUUUAUUGGUAAGUCAGUUUUGGUACAACAGGUGUAAGAGUACUAUCUACAUCCACCAAAUGGCCUUGACUUGAAAGUCAGCAUCUGCCAUUUCUUAAUGACUAACCUCCUGAUGUGAGGGAGAAGGAGCUAGGAACUAGCACCUCUUCUGCAGCUAGGAGUUGGAUGCCACUCCAACCUAUAAUAUGUUAGUGUUUGAUAACUUUACCCUAUUGUCUUGAAAUUAGGGCAGACUUAACUUGAGAUAUAGUAUAUAGUGUUUAUCCUUUUUGAUACAGGGUCUUACUCUGUCACCUUCCCAGGCUCAUGUGAUCCACCUGCCUCACCUCCCACGUAGCUGGGACUGUAGGCGUGCACCACUAUGCCCGGCUAAUUUUUUAUUUUUUUGUAGAGAUGGGGUCUUGCUCUGUUGCCCAGGCUGGUCUUGAACUCCUGUGUGCAAGCAGUCCUCCCACUUCGGCCUCCCAAAGUGCUGGGAUGAUAGGCGUGAGCCACUGAGUCUGGUCGGUUUAUGUUUUUAAAAAGUCCAUUUCUCCCACCUUCAGCCAGCCUUCCUUUAGCUUAUGCAGACAUGAUUGCCCUUCCUUUUGUUACAGUGUAAGACAACUCAUUUCUUAAAAUACAGUCUGCAAAUAUAGUGUGUAUUCCUGUUUUUUUUUUUUAAGUUAAUUUUUUAGAGACAGGGUCUCGUUCUGUCGCUCUGGCUGGAGUGCAGUGGUGCAGUCAUAGCUCAAGCAUCCUUAACUUCCUGCGUUCAUGCCUUUCUCUCGCCUCAGCCUCUUGAGUAGCUAGGACUGCAAGUGCAUGCCACCGUGCCUGGCUACAUUCCUGUAUUUUUAUUCAUCAUGUACUAUGCCCACUUUCCUUAUUUCUCACAGUUUAUCAGCCCUCUUAUUUCACAUUGUAACAGGAUGCUGUAUACUUAACCUGACGUUAGAUUUUGAAGAAGGCAGUAUAUAUGCAUAUGUACAGAAGGGCAGUGUAAAGCAGUGAGUUAGACUGCCUGGGUUCGUAAUCCAGUUCUACUACUUAUUUCAGUGUGGGACUUAGGAUAGGUUACUUAACAUUGUUAAACUUCAGAUGUUAUUACAAGAAUAAUAUAUCUAAAGCGCUUAACAUAAUAUUUGGCACAUAAUAAACACAAAAUAAAUCUUAGUUAAUGUCAUUCAUAAGAUUCUCAAAAAAGUCUCUGACCUAUAACUGAAAAUGUACAACUUGCCACAUAAUUUUUUCUUUCACUCUGUUCUCGCCUUUUUAUACUCUUUUAACACUUACGUGAAUGGGAAUAAAACACUGUGCCACUUUAUUGUGAUGUUUCAAUUUAAGUUGAAGUAAGCCCUUGAGUAACUGGUAGAAUGCAGACUUUGGUAAUAUAAACUAAUUAGAAAUUCUCUGGAACAGGUGACUGACAGGCCCUGGUACAAUAGUAUACUACUUUUGGCCAAGUUUUAUUCAUCCUUAAAUCUUUUUUCAGAGGGAAAUAACGGAAUAUUUGCGUUACACGAUAUCAUUACUGUUUAUAGCAUCAGAAUUUGGGGGUGCAGAGACAGAAAUCUGUCUGUAACUAGAUUACAGACAGUCUAACCUCAAACUAGGUUAGACAAAAUGAAGAAUUUCAUGUAAGUCUCAUGGAAUUUCAUUAAAGGAGGGAUAUAUCUGCUCCCAGGGACUCAAGUGCCACCAGAAUUUAUUUUCUCUAUUUCUGCUUUUCUACAUGGUUUACCUCUUUUUGUUUUUGAGACAGGGUCUCACUUUGUCACUCAGGCUGGAGUGCAGCAGUGCGAUCUUGGCUCACUGCAGCCUCAGCCUCCCUGGAUGAAGCCAUCCUCCUGCCUCAGCCCCCCUAGUAGCUGGGACUACGGGCAUGCGCUGCCACACCCAGCUAAUUCUUUUUGUAUUUUUUACAUGGACGGUGUUUCGCCAUGUUGCCCAGGCUGGUCUCGAACUCCUGAGCUCAAGUGAUCUGCCUACCUUGGCCUCCCAAAGUGCUAAGAUUACAGGCGUGAGCCGUGUCCCACCUGACUUGUCUUUUCAGACCAACUUUCUUCAUAUUAUGCUGUCAGUUUGUAGGUCUCCCACAUUUACUACUUGAGAUAGUCUAUGCUUCUUUCUUAAGUUGCUGUUGAUAAAACUCCAGAAACAAAGUAUGGACAAGCUUGGGUCAUGUGUCCACUCCAAAUCUACGGCCAGGGAAUACAGUUAUUCCAAUUAUGUCAGCUACUAUGGUCAAGGAGGUGAACUUUCAAGAAAAAUAAGUGCUUGGAAUGGAAGAAAGAACAUUUCAUGUGAGAAGACAAGUACAGAAGUAGAGAGUAGGAGAGGCUUGGAGGGGAAAUAAUAAAUAAUCCUUACAUGAUGCUUGUUUAUGCUUGCUAAAUCUUUACUUCAGUUAGCACAAAGCAGGAACACAAAUACAUGCUAUUGCAAUUUGAAACAGGAUUCCUCAGCAAAAUUGAUUCUGAUUUUUAUUAUAGUUGUAGCCCGGAGUUUGCUGCAAGAUUUUCACUUUUACCUUAGAUUAAAUAAGAGACUUUUUAUACUGUCGUGCUUCAACUUGUAUUUUUGGUGGUGAUGAUUUUUUCUUUGUUGCUUACUAAGCUGAUAUUACUCACUUGAUAUUGGGUGACAGCUUGAGUUACAAGUUUAAUACUAGUAAGUAAGCAUUUUCUUUUCCUUUUUUUUUUUUUUUUAAUAUUCUUGAGACAGGGUCUCACUCUGUUGCCCAGGCUGGAGUGCAGUGACACAAUCUCAGCUCACUGCAGCCCCUGCCUCCUGGGUUCAAGCAGUUCUCCUGCCUCAGCCUCCUGAGUAGCUGGGAUUACAUGCCCACACCACCAUGCCUGGCUAACUUUUGUAUUUUUAGUAGAGUUGGGGUUCCACCAUGUUGGCCAGGCCGGUCUUGAACUCCUGAUCUCAAGUGAUCUGUCCCCCUCAGUCUCCCAAAGUACUGGGAUUACAGGUGUGAGCCACUGCACCCAGCAUAAGUAAGCAUUUUCUUGAUUGAAUAAGUAAGGGUAUUUUUUUUCCAUGUGAUAAAGCCCAUCUAAAAAUAACGUUGUGUAAAAAUAAACUAUUAGAAGGUAUAUGAAAGUGUAGUUGGGUACAAGGAAUAUAUGGAACCAGGGAUUCAGCAUCACCAGGACCUCCAUCUCUCCUAAUCCCUGGUUGAAUCCUGUUGCAUCUCUUCAAUUUUUUCUUUUCCACAACCACUAAUUUAAUUUAGGUUCUGAUCAUAAUACAGGUGAAUGUGUAGUGAAUGAUAGCAGUGGAUUCCCACAUGGCAAGCAAACUAAAUCUUCCCCUGCCUAAGUUCACGUUGAGUGUUUUGUUGUGUGUGUAAUUUCCCCUAAAUACUUCCAGAGUGUCAGUAACUAUUCAGUACGCUCAAAUUGAGUCAGGAGUAUAACAGAAGCCUUUAAAAAUUACGUAAAACUAGAGAAAGUAGGUAAAAAUAGUAAUCCUGACUUUCAUUAAUCUAUAACUGAUCUUUCAGUAAUGUAUGGCCUUCUGAAAUGAUACUUUGUUUUUAGUUACUGUAAAUGGUAUGUCUGCUCUAAUCAGGGUGACUGGCUUAUUCAUUUUUGUUUCUGUACCAUACAUUUGUCAUUUGCUCUGACUUGAAUGACUUUUCUCCAUCUGUGCCAGUUCUAUUACGAUUGUAAUUCAAGCAUUUCCCCUCUAAAUGCACUGUGAUCAGGCUACUUUUGACUCUCUCUGUUCUCUGCUUAGUCAAUAUUGGAGGUGUUGGAGAAUUUUUCUUUGAGAAAUGAAUUUUUUUCUUUUUCCUUUUUUUUUUUUCUUGAGACAGAGUCUCAACUCUGUCACCCAGGCUGGAGUGCAGUGGCAUGAUCUCAGCUCACUGCAACCUCUGCUUCCUGCGUUCAAGCAAUUCUCCUGCCUCAGCCUCCUCAGUAGCUGGGACUACAGGUGUGCACCACCAUGCCUGGCUAAUUGUUUUGUAAUUUUAGUGGAGAUGGGGUUUUGCCUUGUUGGCCAGGCUGGUCUCGAACUCCUGACCUCAAGUGUUCUGCCAGCCUCAGCCUCCCAAAGUGCUGGGAUUACAGGCGUGAGCCACUGCGCUUGGCCUGAGAAAUGAAUUUUUACAAAGUGAGUCACACUUCUUAUCUGUAUAUCCAGGAGGGAAAAACCUUAAUCUAUGAUUGUCAGACAUUCUACAUUCUUGAUAAUGGUUAAAAAAGAAAAAUUCUUUUUCCAUGUAGUUAGUAUGUCACCUAUCCUUUUGACAAAUAUUUGAGCUGGAUAUCAUAUGUCAUACGAUAAGCUUUAUUAAAGUUAAUGUUCAAGCUUUAUUACCUCCCAUUGGAAAGGGUGAUUUGCAGGUAUCUUAUCCCAGACCUGUGAGAUCAGUGGUUUUCAAGGUAGUCUCAUACCAGCAGCAUUAGCAUCACCUGAGUUUUUUUUUUUUUUUUUUUUUUUUUUUUAAUUGCAGGUACUCGGGCCUCACUGGAGACUUACUAGGUCAGAAAGUUGGGUGAGGCUCAGCAGCCCAUUUUAGUAAGCCCUCAAGGUAAUUCUGAUACCCUUAAUAAGACAGACCAAUCGUAGAGAGCCUGAGGGCAUUUGUUUGGUUGCUAAUACACCUUUUUUUGGAGUGAACGAAGUACCAUGAUCUUGUCAGAAGAUGAGUUCAAAAUAGAGCAUGGCUAUGUAAUUAGCUGUGUGGUUUCAAAGGAUUAGUUAUAACACAGUUAUAAAAAUUAAAGGUAGUGGUUAACAGGAUAGUUUUGAGGAUCAAAUAAAUAAUGAAACAAGCUUUUCAUGAACUCUUAAGGCCUAUGUAAAUUUCAGUUGCAAACUGUUAACGCUUAUGUUUUUUUCCUUUUGGGGCCCUUAUUCAUACUAGUGACUUCAGUGGCUUUUAUUCACAAUAGUGAUCAGUUGCUAAACUUGCUUCUGAUUUUGGGGUGCAGGAUAUGAGCUUAAGAAACGUUACAUGACCUGAGAUUAGGAGGUCUGGGUAUUAUAAUAAAGUAUCAGUGCCUGACGUUUCUCUGCCUGGUUUCCUUAUUUGCAAAUAAAGGUAGCAAGCACUCCAUUUGGUACUUCUAAAGAUCUAAUGAAAUUGUGUGUGUUGACACUGCUUUCAUGGUUGCAAGAGAAAAAGACAGUGAAAUCAAAGCAUCUAUCAUAAAUGCCUGACACAUAGAAGAUACUUUAUGACAGCUAUUUGUUAUUCUUGUAUAUAAAACUAGCUUUAGGCUGGGCACGGUGGCUCAUGUUUCCAAUCCUACAUUUUGGGAAGCCAAGGUGGGCAGAUCGCUUGCAUCCAGGUGUUUGAGACCAGCCUGGGCAACAUGGUGAAACCCUUCUCUAUGAAAAAUACAAAAAUUAGCCAGGCAUGGUGGUGCACAUGUAUAGUCCCAGAUACUUGGGAGGCUGAGGUGGGAGGAUCAUUUGAAGGUUGAGGCUGCAGUGAGCAGUGAUCAUGCCACUGCACUCCAGCCUGGGUGACAGAGCAAGAUCCUGUCUCAAAAAAUAAAUCUAGCCUUUUCAUUAUAUUUCUCUUACUACACUUCUAUCUCUUAUUUUGAAGUUUUGUUUUAGUUCCUGAGUAUUGACUCUCCAGAUUCCCAAAUACCAAUGUCCUGUACCAGAUUCUUGGUACAUGGACCAGAUACUUGAACACUUAAAGCACUGUUGGUGUUGUACUUUGAGAGACACAGUGUAAGAGCUGUCAUUUGUUUGCCAGCUGGUUAUUUAGCUAGAGUGGCAAUACCUUGCCUUGAUAAAGUUACCGCUUUUCAGGUUGUAGCUUCUGCAAAUCAUUAGGGGUCUUGGAAUUGAUUUAUCUUUCAGAAAUAGAUUCACAAACUCAUUCAUAACCAGAAUAUCCAUUUGUAAUGGGAAAUAGAAGUUUUGGAUGACAGUUUCUUCCUAGUUCUUCCUAAGAAAAUCUUUUCAAAUGAUAAUCAUUAAUUUCUUCCCACACAUGGAUUUUGAGUGAUGCAGGUUAAUUGUAUCAUCUAAUCCAGUCUGAUUUACCCAUAUCCAUUGUAGCAAUGUGUUUAACACAUGAGCUAGACUUACUUCUUUCCAUGACUGCUGGAGAAACAUAAACCAUGUCUUAUUUCAUGAUUACCCUUUUUUUUCUAGCUUCUAAACUGAUUGUUUUCUGACUGUUUUGCUUCAGACCAUGUGCAUUGUAUGUGGGUGUGCAUGAGUGUAUAAUAUGUUCACAUGAUUUGGAUUAAAUUUUCUUUUUAUAAUCAGAAUUCUGUUAUGUUUCCCUGAUGCUGUGCAUUUCUUGUUUACUGGUUAGAGUGAGUAGUUUGUAUAGAAAGCUGAUUUCAUUUCAUUGUGUAUGGACAUUUCUUUUUCAUCCACGGAGGGUCUGAUUUUUGUGGGGAUUGAGGGAAGUCCCUGCCCAAGGCACCAUGGUGUAUUGAUAUGAAUAUGGGCUUUUGGAGUUAGACUGUUUAAAUCUGGCUCUACUACUUGUAACUUGUGUGAUUUGUGAAGAAAUGCUUAACCUGUCAGCCUCUGUUUUCGCAUCUAUGAAAUGGAAAUAAUAUAACAAGUCCGUAUGAUAGAUGGUAAGGAUUUCAUGAGAUGAUUUUAUAUGUAAAUGGAGAUAACCAUAGAGAAGAAUAUAUGGUUAAUGUAGUCCAUUAUCAUUUCUGUAUAUUACUACUGGUUUGUUUGUGUUUUUUUUUUUUUUUUUUUUCAUGUGUUCGGGCUGAGCUCUGAAUUUUCGUCUGCCUUUCUGGGUUUGUUAACUUAUAGUCUAUUUCUCAUUGUUCUAUUUCUCCACCCUCAAGUUAAGUAUGGUACUCUUAUUAAGAGUGGGCAUCCAUGCAUAGCGUUAACUGUCAUUGUGCAUAUACUGAAUUGAUUGCAAAAAGAAUAGUCCAUGUUAGACCAAGGCCACUUUUUAAUUAUACUUAAAGAUCUUGUUGUCAGCAAUUAUAACUGGUUCAUUUUAUAGAAAUACUUAAAAGAUUGGGAUAUUCCUAGGUUUCAGAAAUAUUUUCAGUUUUACUUUUUAUGAUCCGAGAAUUCGUAACACAGCUUUUAUUCUUCACUAUAGAAUGAAUACUCCACAGAUUUGUGGAUUAUAGCCUGGGAAUCAGAAAUAUCACUGAUUCAGAGAUUACCUUUUAUUUUGAUUUAUUUAGGAAGGCGACAUGCCAAUUCAUGAACUUCUCAGCCUUUAUGGUUAUGGUAGUACUGUUCGACUACCUGAAGAAGAUGAGGAAGAGGAAGAAGAGGAAGAAGAAGG
RNA transcript from Homo sapiens (human), 10504 nucleotides. It is a transcript of the gene named MIER1 transcriptional regulator, with no coding region annotated. The transcript has 6 exons. The record is from RefSeq and is marked reviewed. Lineage: Eukaryota; Metazoa; Chordata; Mammalia; Primates; Hominidae.